AGGCAUAUGAGGGGAUCAUCAAUAUUGAGCCGCCACCUUCAAAAAGAAAAAAAGGAAAACCCUACCUGAAAGCGAGUUCUUUUUUUGCUAAAAAAAUACAUGGAGCAGCUUUAAGUUUUCUAUAGGGAACUAGAGCAGCCCCAAAAACCAAAAAACAAAAACCAAAAAAAAAAAAAACAACAAAACCUUCUUCCCCAAUUUUCGAAAACACAAAAAUGGGUUGGAUAGCCUUUGGAGGUUGAGGUUUCAAAGUUCCGUUGAUAUUUCGAGCUCGCGGGUCCGAAAAGUUAAUUUUAUUAAUUUGGAAAUCAGUAGAUUGUUAUUUUUAGUAAGAGAUUUACAAAGAGGUAACGGAGAAGAGCAGGUUCGUGAUACUCUCGACGCUUAGGAGAACUUGUUGCUGCUGUUGAUUUGGUGAGCCCACAUCCUUGUUCGUGGGACACUUCCUGUUUCAUUUAGUAUUCCAGAUUUCCGGGUUGCGUCCCGAAGUUAGAUGACUGUUUUAUCUCUUAGAAGUUCCAUAGAUAGUUGUCAGUAUUGUGGGUAGAUUGUCAAAGUCUCGUACGACUUAAUGGGUGUUUGCCACGUUUAUGACUAUUUACUUAUAAAGACUUCCGCUGAUUUAAUUCAUAUAUUUAUGAUUUGUUACAUUUAAUUUAAUUUAUAAA
Long non-coding RNA from Lycium barbarum (goji berry), 668 nucleotides. RefSeq lists it as uncharacterized. The transcript has 2 exons. The record is from RefSeq and is a predicted model, not a curated record. NCBI's taxonomy places the organism in Eukaryota, Viridiplantae, Streptophyta, Magnoliopsida, Solanales, Solanaceae.